AUACGGAGGAUGCAAGCGUUAUCCGGAUUUAUUGGGUUUAAAGGGUGCGUAGGCGGUUUGCUAAGCGGGAGGUGAAAUGCCGGCGCUCAACGUCGGAAGUGCCUCCCGAACUGGUGGACUUGAAUGACUCUGCCGUGGGAGGAAUGUGUAGUGUAGCGGUGAAAUGCUUAGAGAUUACACAGAACACCGAUUGCGAAGGCAUCCCACGAAGGGUUGAUUGACGCUGAGGCACGAAAGCGUGGGGAUCAAACAGGAUUAGAUACCCUGGUAGUCUACGCAGUAAACGAUGAUGACUAACCGCUGGGCUUAGCAUUUCAGUGGCCAAGCGAAAGCGAUAAGCCAUCCACCUGGGGAGUACGACCUCAAGGUUGAAACUCAAAGGAAUUGACGGGG
Molecule: ribosomal RNA, 393 nt
Filed under: uncultured bacterium
Lineage: Bacteria
Description: partial 16S ribosomal RNA
Rfam family: Bacterial small subunit ribosomal RNA
Source: RNAcentral